This 1227-nucleotide long non-coding RNA is filed under the name Anser brachyrhynchus (Pink-footed goose). Its description in RNAcentral is "lncRNA (ENSABRG00000012931.1)". The record is from RNAcentral. Lineage: Eukaryota; Metazoa; Chordata; Aves; Anseriformes; Anatidae.
AUGGGGAUGGGGGAUAGGGCCAGGGAUGGGAACAGGGAUAGGGGCAGGGAUAGGGAUGGGGACAUGCACACGGAUGGGAAUGGGGACAGGGAUACGGAUGGGGACAGGGAUAGGCGCAGGGACACAGAGCCAGGCGCCCCGCGGGGCCUUUAUUCAGACGAUGAGGACGGGGCCGCUGUAGGUAGCGGGGGCCGUCGGAGCUUCCCCUUCCGCCGUGAAGUAGCCGAAGAGCGCCCGCACCCCGGCCUUGAGCCCCGGCUGCAGCCCCAGCCCCAGGCCCAUGGCCACGGGGCCGCCGGCACCGGCGGUGAGGGCGGCCAGGCCGGCGUAGCCCAGGUCCUGGGCCACCUCCAGGGCCCGCUCGGAGGCCAGGACCUCGCAGCCCUGGAAGGCGAAGUAGAUGCUGGUGCCCAGGUUGUAGAACAAGCUGACGCCCGGCACCCAAUCCAGCACCCCGUGGGCCUCCUGCUCCCCCGGCGGGCUGCAGGCAUCGUCCUCGCCGUCCCGCCGGGCCCGGGCUGCGCGGCGGCACCGAGGGGGCCAGGCACGGGCCCCACGGCGCCCCGGGGCCGGCACCCCAUGCAGCGGCGGCGGCGGGGUGCCGGCCCUGGGGCCGCAGGGCCCAGCCGGGCCAGGGUGCCCCAAGUGCACCAGGCUGAAGAGCAGGGGCAGGGCGCGGGGGCUGGGGGUGUCACGGAGCCCCGCCAGCCCCCGCAGCAGGGCGGUGGCCGCGGGCGUUCCCAGCUCCCGGUACAGCCCCAGCACCGUUGCCUCGGCCUCGGGGCCGCACGCGGCUCCGCUCAGCGCCAGGGCCAGGGCGGCGCGGGCCAGGGCGCGGGGCAGCGGGGGGAGCCGGGAGAAGCCGGGCAGGGCCUCAGGGUGCAGGUCCCGGCAGGAGACCCCGCGCCCCCGCAGCGCCCGGGGGGGGGCCAGCUCUGCCAGCAGCCCCCGCGCAUCCGCCUCCAGCGGGGUGGGGACGUGGCUGCUGCCGCCCCCCAGGCCCAGGAGGAAGAGGAGGAGGAGGAGGAAGAGCAGAGCCUGGGGCAUGGCGGCAGCUCCAGGACAGCCUGUGGAGGCAGGAGAGGGGGCAGAGCUGUCAGCCCCCUGCAGCCGCAGCCCCUCCGCGCCCCCCCAGCACCCCAGCUCACCCCCUUGCGUCCGCUGGCGUCCCCUCGCCCCUCUGCUGCCACCGCUGCUGCGGCCAAGCCCCCCGUGGCCCGUUUAUAG